AGUGAACGCUGGCGGCAGGCCUAACACAUGCAAGUCGAGCGGCAGCGGGUUCCCGCGAGGGGAUGCCGGCGAGCGGCGGACGGGUGAGGAACACAUCGGAAUCUGCCUGGGUUGUGGGGGAUAACGUAGGGAAACUUACGCUAAUACCGCAUGCGACCCUGAGUCGACGGACUGGGGGUGAAAGUGAGGGACCUUCGGCCUCACGCGACCAGAUGAGCCGAUGUCGGAUUAGCUAGUUGGCGGGGUAACGGCCCGCCAAGGCGACGAUCCGUAGCUGGUCUGAGAGGAUGAUCAGCCACACUGGGACUGAGACGACGGCCCAGACUCCUACGGGAGGCAGCAGUGGGGAAUCUUGGACAAUGGGCGCAAGCCUGAUCCAGCCAU
This 384-nucleotide ribosomal RNA is filed under the name uncultured bacterium. Its description in RNAcentral is "bacterial SSU rRNA". It matches the Rfam family "Bacterial small subunit ribosomal RNA", at positions 30 to 395 of the family's 1533-position model. The record is from RNAcentral.